AUGGAGAGGGGGGAGAGAACCCUCCUUUCUCUCUCUAGAGAUCUCUCUCAUCUCUCUAUAUCUCUCGCUCAAAUUCGCGGGGUUGGUGGAGAAGAUGCUUGCGAACGCGUUGGAGGCGACGGAUUGAGCUUUCGUGCACCCGUUGGAGCGGCGUGUUUUCGUCGCGGCGUUCACAUUGAGGUAAGCUUUUAGAAUUUGGCUUAAUCCUUAGUUCUAAGUGUUCUAAAUACCUCUAAUGAGCAUUCUAAACAUGCUCUCUCUAUUUAAUUUGGAUUAUUUAGAGGUUAAUUGCAUGUUAGGGCUCCGAAUGGGGUUUUGUAAAAUAUAUGGGUUUGAUCUCAUUUGACCCUCCGUAAACCAAAUUGCUAGGUAAACGAACGCGUUGGCGAAGACGGUUCGGCAAUCCGACGAGCCGUUACAAAGUUAUUAAAGAAAUGGACGUUUAGGCUUCGGGUCCGCCGGGAGGGCCGAGGCGACGUCGUAAAAUCGUGGAAAUGGAUUUGAGGCAUCGUGGCACAUAACCGAAGACCUAUAAUUUUCGGGGCUGCGAAGCGGAGCACGGUUGAGGUGCAGUUGCAGUAUCGGGCCGUGCCGGGUGCCGGGUGCCGCGGGAGGCCGAUUGCAAGUGACUACAAGCAAUCGAAACGCGAGUUAAGGUGGGUUGUGCUUACCGAAGCGACUAGGUCGCCUUUAUGUCUAAGCAAACAUAUAUAUGUAGACAUAUUGUGGAAUAUGAUGAAUGAGUGCAUGUUGAUUUAUUGUAGAAUAUACUAGAUGAAUGUAUAUUGACAUAUUGUGGAUUAUGUUAAAUGACACAUGCAUGUUGAACUUGGGUCGAUAAACUCUAGGUGAAUUAGAGAACUCGACAUUGGAAAACAAUGACAUAUGAACUAUGAUAUGUGACGUGGACAAUCUAUAUAUAUUAGAUCGAGUGGCAUAUGAUUAGUAUAGUGGAAGUACUAAUGGCAUGUUGAACACUUAGAAAACAAGAGUGGCAAGAGUCCAAGAAUAUAGUAGUGUAUAUGACACAAGUGAUAGUAAGGAAUGCAAAGAAAAGAAUGAUUGAAAUAUUAUGACAUUUCAACCCUAGAGUUAUGGUCAUUUGAGUAUAGUCUUCCUAAAGUUAAGGAAUGGAUUGAACUUUGAGUCCUCAAAUGUAGGAUUGAUCAUACUCACUUUUAGUCCUUGCUCGAGGUUGUGGUAGCUCCCCCUCGGGCGAUGUGCUCCGGAGUCGACAUCACUGGGUUGUAGCGAGUAUCUCCCCAGAGGACGGUCCCACCGGGUUGUAGCGGGUAUCUCCCUGGUUAAUGGGAUUUUGGGUUGGUGAGUUUGUUGAGGGCGAAACCAUCGGGUUAGCCAAGUGAUUGGGUAAUAGACUUAUGAGCUAUAGUGAUAUCCUAGUUGAGGGGAUUUAAGACCGAGGUGCAAGUGAGACGUCCUUCGCCUCGGGCCUGGCUUUGUGCGGUAAUCCGCAGACGAUUGACUCAAGACCGAGUCGAGCGGUUAGCUUUGUAAAGAUAGAUAAAGCUUUAUGAUUAAAAUGGUAAAUGACAGAAAACCUUAAAUGUCAAUUGGAUGAAAGUAGUAAUCGAUUGAAUUACUAGUUGGUUGUAUAGUCGCAUCAUUGCAUGAUCUUCAUAUUGCAUUCGUGAGGCAAUGCAUGGUUUUAUUCGUUGCAUAAUCAAGAUAUAUAUAUCUAUCUGUUUAUUGAACUAACUUGCAGUUGCCUCCCUUGGACUUAUUGGUCGAGCUUUUUCCUUGGGUGGCCGUACCCACUGGGAGCCAUGGAGUUGGUUCUCACCCCACGUGGUUUUGGGGUAUUACAGGUUCACACGUGAGCGGCGCGGCGGCGCGAGGCGAGGGCGUAUCUCCAUAGUUAGCGCCCUACCACUGAGACUAGAGAUAGCGGUACCCUGAGUCGGCCUUUACUUAGUGAUGUAAGAAAAUGAAAAGAAUCAAGUUGUAAUAAUUUGUAAUAAAAGCUAGAUUGUACUUGGAAGUUAAAUGUAAUAAGUAAUUGUGAUGUAAAAUGUAUCUGGUGAAUGUGAAUGCUUGUAAUAGCAAGUAGAUUAUGUUUUUGAUACUUCCUUAUGCAAUCCUUGAUUAAAAUGUGUUCCUGGUUGGAACUUUGUACAUUAUAUUGAUUGCGACGCCUUGAAUGUACAGGGGAGACUCUGUCCGCGAUACCAGGGAAAUCCUGUCCGUUCGGCGGUCUGUCGGCGUGCCCGAAACCGGCCAAAUAGGCGGGCUCGGGGCGUGACAGAUAAGAUGGUAUCAGAGCAUAAAAAGAACAUAAAAAGAAUAAUAGAAAAUGGUUUAGUUGGACCUAGAAGACCCUAGGAUAGUAAACCAUAGGAGAUUAAGGUUCGUGAGAGACGAGAACUUGUGACUUUUGGCGAAAGGUUAAUUGAUUGGGUUGUGUCGUAAACCUCUGAAACGGAUAUUAGAGGUAGAUUUAAAGUGUGGUUUAUUCUCAACCGAUUGUGUUCGUGUUGGGCGCGCACAACAUGAAACCGAGUGAUGAGAAUAGACGCCCUUGCGUGACUUUCGCCCGAUUUGAGUCGGUAUUAAGUGUCUCGUGUUCGACCUAGAAGGUCGAGGAUUAGUAAAGUUGUCGCGUUUUAGGAAACGACAGCACUGCGUAGGCGAUCUUUGUUUAGAUCGGCGCGGGAUGGGCCAAGUGGUGUCCCUGGGCAAUUUGAGACGAGCGGAGACUUGAGACUUCGCGAGCGAUUGGCCACUCUCGUGUGUGUGGCGGGGUAAUGAGUUGAAUUAGUGCAGUGUCAGCAGAAGGCUGCCAUAUGCCAGGAGGAGCGAGUUAAGAGACUCUAAGAGUUGGGGGAUCAGUAGUGAUCGCACCAGUUCCGGCUCGUUAAGUACGGCCGGGAGUCGCGACGAAGGUGUGGUGGACAGGCGUCGAGUGGAAUCGACUGCCUGGUCUCCCUCCUGUGGUUUGGGAUGAGUUUCGGGGAUCGGUAUUCUCUGUUUACUCCCCUGAUGGUGGAAAAGAAAGCUUCAGGAAAGGUUCUCGAAGCUGCGGCAGGUAGAUCGC
RNAcentral lists this long non-coding RNA (3052 nucleotides) under Ananas comosus (pineapple). Its description in RNAcentral is "long non-coding RNA (ACOM_LNC026820)". Lineage: Eukaryota; Viridiplantae; Streptophyta; Magnoliopsida; Poales; Bromeliaceae. The record is from RNAcentral.